Bactrocera latifrons is the source of this 1380-nucleotide RNA transcript. It is a transcript of the gene named nucleoside diphosphate kinase 6, with no coding region annotated. NCBI's taxonomy places the organism in Eukaryota, Metazoa, Arthropoda, Insecta, Diptera, Tephritidae. The transcript has 4 exons. The record is from RefSeq and is a predicted model, not a curated record.
CACAAAACAGCUGAUCAAAAUCUCUUUACAUUUUAGUAUUUCGUUAAUUUUAAGUAAAAAAUUAAUUUUAAUAAAUGGAAAUUACAUUGGCGCUUCUUAAACCACAUGUUGUUCGUAAUGUCUACGCAUUUCGAGAGAUAAAACAAAUUAUACAGCAGAAUUUUACAAUACUAUACACCAAAGAAGUGCUUAUUACGAAAGAGUUGUCUGAACAUUUCUAUGCCGAGCACAAAGGAAAAUUCUUCUACAACCGACUGGUCACAUUCAUGGGCAGUGGCCCUUGUCAUGCCUUUGUUUUGCAGUCAAAAGGCAGCAUUAGUAAGUGGCGCGAGUUGAUGGGACCAACAAAGGUUUUCAAAGCUGUGUACUCACAUCCCGAUUGUAUACGUGGGUUAUAUGGUCUCUCAGAUACGCGUAAUGCAUGUCAUGGUUCCGAUAGUGAAGAAUCUGCGACCAGAGAAAUUUCUAUUUUAUUCCCCGAGUUAAAUAUAAAUCAAUUAACAGCUAUUGACAGCAAUAGUUGACGGAGGGAUUAUGUCACCCUGGAACUGUUUUGAAUGCAUUUAUUUGAGCACAUGUAGAUGUUAAAAUCCAUAAGGACAAAAAUUUCUAAAUACUAAGUAAUGUAAAUGUUAGCAAGAUUGUUAAAUUCAAUUCAACGGCGCAUGUUAUUUAAUGUAAGAUCCAUCUGUACUGUAAAAAAUUGAAAAAAAAUGUAUGUAUUGGCGACAGUUUUGAGUUAUGUAAGAGUAUUACUUUACUCCUAUGGACAAGUUAUGCAACGGUAGCUUUAAGAACAAUUUCAACAGCGACUCUUGAAGUGGUACUAAGACUGCCGCGUAGAGAGCUCUUCGCUGAAAACUGCUCAGCAAAAUCGGAGGAACGCCUAUUGACUGCAGGAGAAUUUACAUAUAGAACUUUCGGGCAUAGCUCGGUGGGUAAUGGCGGUUGGACCAACACCGACUACAUGACUCCACUUUUCAACUGGGAAAGAAGGUUGGCGUAAGGGUAUGUUAGCUAAGCGUAACGCUUUAAACAUCUAUACGGAUGGCUCGAAAAUGGACGAUGGAAUUGGUGCGAGAAUAUACUGUCUAGAGUUAGGCAUAAGGCUACCUUUAAAGUUGUCGGACCACCUGAUAAACAUUGGAAAACCCAUACAUUUUCUAUACGACGAUCUCGACAGAAGUAUGGUAAAGAAAACCAAAAACCGAUGGAACGAGCUAUAUGGCUGCAAAACUGCAAAUGUACCAAACGUCACACGUAUGCUGGAUGGGGAUGACAGAUCGAGAAGACUGCAGGAAAUGUCUAGAGCAGAGCACCAGGUACAAAAUUUAUUAUAUUUUGUCUACUUGUCCAGCAUUUGCAAGAUUACGCUGUAAG